This 252-nucleotide long non-coding RNA is filed under the name dengue virus type 1. RNAcentral describes it as "Dengue virus 1 partial sfRNA1". The stretch from base 149 to 220 matches the Rfam family "Flavivirus DB element". Lineage: Riboviria; Orthornavirae; Kitrinoviricota; Flasuviricetes; Amarillovirales; Flaviviridae. The record is from RNAcentral.
AAAAAGUCAGGCCGGAUUAAGCCAUAGUACGGUAAGAGCUAUGCUGCCUGUGAGCCCCGUCCAAGGACGUAAAAUGAAGUCAGGCCGAAAGCCACGGCUUGAGCAAGCCGUGCUGCCUGUAGCUCCAUCGUGGGGAUGUAAAAACCCGGGAGGCUGCAAACCAUGGAAGCUGUACGCAUGGGGUAGCAGACUAGUGGUUAGAGGAGACCCCUCCCAAGACACAACGCAGCAGCGGGGCCCAACACCAGGGAA